GGGAACCUAACACGGGCGUGGGAGAAAUAAAUGAAAAUGUACACGGCCGUACGACGCAGCCGCGCCCACCACACGACCUGGGAACACGGAUGUGUUGAAGGGACUGUGUGUGAACCUGACUUCGAUUUCAAGAAACACACGGGCUAGGAGAUUAUCACACGGGUGUGGGCCACGUUCGUGUGACCCAAAACGGGGCUUACAUGACCAUGUCCCCCCUUUUAUUUCUCCCAACCCUAAUUUUUUCCUAUCUCUCAUCACUAUUCAUUAUCUUUUUCCACCAGCCACUCUUUUUCUCCUUUCUUUUCUUUAUUUUUCUUUCCUUUCUCUCUUUUCUCUUCUUCUUUCCACAACUUCC
This 355-nucleotide long non-coding RNA is filed under the name Gossypium barbadense (sea-island cotton). Its description in RNAcentral is "long non-coding RNA (GBAR_LNC000168)". Lineage: Eukaryota; Viridiplantae; Streptophyta; Magnoliopsida; Malvales; Malvaceae. The record is from RNAcentral.